This 235-nucleotide ribosomal RNA is filed under the name uncultured bacterium. RNAcentral describes it as "partial 16S ribosomal RNA". It matches the Rfam family "Bacterial small subunit ribosomal RNA", at positions 96 to 334 of the family's 1533-position model. The record is from RNAcentral.
UGGCGGACGGGUGAGUAAUGUCUGGGAAACUGCCUGAUUGAGGGGGAUAACUACUGGAAACGGUAGCUAAUACCGCAUAACGUCGCAAGACCAAAGAGGGGGACCUUCGGGCCUCUUGCCAUCGGAUGUGCCCAGAUGGGAUUAGCUAGUAGGUGGGGUAACGGCUCACCUAGGCGACGAUCCCUAGCUGGUCUGAGAGGAUGACCAGCCACACUGGAACUGAGACACGGUCCAG